GACGAACGCUGGCGGCGUGCUUAACACAUGCAAGUCGAACGGAAAGGCCCUGCUUUUGUGGGGUGCUCGAGUGGCGAACGGGUGAGUAACACGUGAGUGACCUGCCCUUGACUUUGGGAUAACUUCAGGAAACUGGGGCUAAUACCGGAUAGGAGCUCCUGCUGCAUGGUGGGGGUUGGAAAGUUUCGGCGGUUGGGGAUGGACUCGCGGCUUAUCAGCUUGUUGGUGGGGUAGUGGCUUACCAAGGCUUUGACGGGUAGCCGGCCUGAGAGGGUGACCGGCCACAUUGGGACUGAGAUACGGCCCAGACUCCUACGGGAGGCAGCAGUGGGGAAUAUUGCACAAUGGGCGGAAGCCUGAUGCAGCAACGCCGCGUGCGGGAUGACGGCCUUCGGGUUGUAACCCGCUUUCGCCUGUGACGAAGCGUGAGUGACGGUAAUGGGUAAAGAAGCACCGGCUAACUACGUG
RNAcentral lists this ribosomal RNA (468 nucleotides) under uncultured bacterium. RNAcentral describes it as "partial 16S ribosomal RNA". It matches the Rfam family "Bacterial small subunit ribosomal RNA", at positions 28 to 507 of the family's 1533-position model. The record is from RNAcentral.